RNAcentral lists this ribosomal RNA (460 nucleotides) under uncultured bacterium. RNAcentral describes it as "partial 16S ribosomal RNA". It matches the Rfam family "Bacterial small subunit ribosomal RNA", at positions 338 to 795 of the family's 1533-position model. The record is from RNAcentral.
CCUACGGGAGGCUGCAGUGAGGAAUAUUGGUCAAUGGGCGCGAGCCUGAACCAGCCAAGUCGCGUGAGGGAGGACGGCCCUACGGGUUGUAAACCUCUUUUGCCGGGGAGCAACGGGCGUCACGUGUGGCGCCCCUGAGAGUACCCGGAGACAAAGCAUCGGCCAACUCCGUCCCAGCAGCCGCGGUAAUACGGAGGAUGCGAGCGUUCUCCGGAUUUAUUGGGGUUAAAGGGUGCGUAGGCGGAUCGUUAAGUCAGUGGUCAAAUUGAGGGGCUCAACCCGUGCCCGCCAUUGAAACUGGCGCUAUUGAGUGGAAGAGAAGUAGGCGGAAUGCGUGGUGUAGCGGUGAAAUGCAUAGAUAUCACGCAGAACCCCGAUUGCGAAGGCAGCAUGCCGGAUUCCGACUGACGCUGAAGCACGAAAGCGUGGGGAUCGAACAGGAUUAGAUACCCGGGUAGUC